RNAcentral lists this ribosomal RNA (399 nucleotides) under uncultured bacterium. RNAcentral describes it as "bacterial SSU rRNA". It matches the Rfam family "Bacterial small subunit ribosomal RNA", at positions 355 to 771 of the family's 1533-position model. The record is from RNAcentral.
UGGGGAAUCUUGGGCAAUGGGCGAAAGCCUGAUCCAGCAAUGCCGCGUGAGUGAUGAAGGCCUUAGGGUUGUAAAGCUCUUUUGCCCGGGAUGAUGAUGACAGUACCGGGAGAAUAAGCUCCGGCUAACUCCGUGCCAGCAGCCGCGGUAAUACGGAGGGAGCUAGCGUUGUUCGGAAUUACUGGGCGUAAAGCGCGCGUAGGCGGUUUUUUAAGUCAGAGGUGAAAGCCCAGUGCUCAACACUGGAACUGCCUUUGAAACUGGAAAACUUGAAUCUUGGAGAGGUCAGUGGAAUUCCGAGUGUAGAGGUGAAAUUCGUAGAUAUUCGGAAGAACACCAGUGGCGAAGGCGACUGACUGGACAAGUAUUGACGCUGAGGUGCGAAAGCGUGGGGAGCAA